This 332-nucleotide unclassified non-coding RNA is filed under the name soil metagenome. RNAcentral describes it as "partial contains 5.8S ribosomal RNA, internal transcribed spacer 2, and large subunit ribosomal RNA". The stretch from base 2 to 120 matches the Rfam family "5.8S ribosomal RNA", at positions 36 to 154 of the family's 154-position model. The record is from RNAcentral.
UAUGAAGAACGUAGCAAAAUGCGAUAAGUAAUGUGAAUUGCAGAAUUCAGUGAAUCAUCGAAUCUUUGAACGCACAUUGCGCCCGCCAGUAUUCUGGCGGGCAUGCCUGUUCGAGCGUCAUUUCAACCCUCAAGCACAGCUUGGUGUUGGGACUCGCGUUAAUUCGCGUUCCUCAAAUUGAUUGGCGGUCACGUCGAGCUUCCAUAGCGUAGUAGUAAAACCCUCGUUACUGGUAAUCGUCGCGGCCACGCCGUUAAACCCCAACUUCUGAAUGUUGACCUCGGAUCAGGUAGGAAUACCCGCUGAACUUAAGCAUAUCAAUAAGCGGAGGA